RNAcentral lists this long non-coding RNA (1488 nucleotides) under Cicer arietinum (chickpea). Its description in RNAcentral is "long non-coding RNA (CARI_LNC001816)". The stretch from base 627 to 699 matches the Rfam family "tRNA". Lineage: Eukaryota; Viridiplantae; Streptophyta; Magnoliopsida; Fabales; Fabaceae. The record is from RNAcentral.
UUUUGCAUAAAAAAUGCCUGGCCUUACUAUUGGAGACACUAUUCCUGAUCUUCAAGUUGAUACAACUCAAGGCAAGAUCAAACUCCAUCAAUUCUGUUCUGAUACAUGGACCAUUCUCUUCUCUCAUCCAGGUGAUUUCACCCCAGUUUGUACCACGGAACUUGGUAAAAUGGCUCAGUAUGCUUCUGAAUUUUAUAAAAGAGGAGUUUUGCUAGUAGGUUUGUCUUGUGAUGACUUGGAAUCACACAAGGAGUGGAUCAAAGACAUUGAAGCCCACACUGUGAGUCAUUACUUGCACACUAAAAUUAUAUUUAUGUUUCUAAUUGUGUAAAUUUAUUUUUACUGAAUUAUUUUUUAAAAUUGACUUUGGUUGAAAGUGACUUGUCUAAUAUUAUUUUAACAAUUCCUUCAUAUGUUUGUAGCAGAUAAAUUAUCAACUUCAUACUAUUUUAUUAAUAAUUCUCUUAUAUUUUUUGAUCCAAUAACAACUUCUUUUAUUGUUUUUCUUUGAAUUUUAAAAUACAUUAAAUUUUAAUUAACCAUACUAACAAUUAGAGGUAACAUUAAAGGCACAAAAUAAAAUAGAUGCUCCUUUUUAAAUAAUGUAUAGAUUACAAAUUGCAUGAUCCGUUGUAGUCUAGUUGGUCAGGAUAUUCGGCUCUCACCCGAAAGACCCGGGUUCAAGUCCCGGCAACGGAAUUUGUUUUUAUUUAUAAUUGUUUUCCCUUUUUCAAACUUGAAAAACAGAAACAAUUAUGACGUGAAAAAGUGGAAAGGUCAAAAGUAGGAGCAUACGUGGUCGUAAAUGUAAGCAACAGCAGGGUGCAGGUUGAUAAUCACACCCACUAACUUGCCACGUUCUGUUCAUGCAAACAACUGCUCUCUCUUUAUAAGCACUCAUUCUGUAACACCGGUUUCAAAAUCAUUCUCAAAUUCAAUACUUUUGCAUAAAAAAUGCCUGGCCUUACUAUUGGAGACACUAUUCCUGAUCUUCAAGUUGAUACAACUCAAGGCAAGAUCAAACUCCAUCAAUUCUGUUCUGAUACAUGGACCAUUCUCUUCUCUCAUCCAGGUGAUUUCACCCCAGUUUGUACCACGGAACUUGGUAAAAUGGCUCAGUAUGCUUCUGAAUUUUAUAAAAGAGGAGUUUUGCUAGUAGGUUUGUCUUGUGAUGACUUGGAAUCACACAAGGAGUGGAUCAAAGACAUUGAAGCCCACACUGUGAGUCAUUACUUGCACACUAAAAUUAUAUUUAUGUUUCUAAUUGUGUAAAUUUAUUUUUACUGAAUUAUUUUUUAAAAUUGACUUUGGUUGAAAGUGACUUGAUGGAAAAGUUAUCAAAAUUAUGUGAGUGAAUGUUUGUAAAUAUGGUGUAUCAAUAAAAUGUAAUGUAAAAAAAUGUGUAAUUACAGCCAGGGGCAAAGGUGAACUAUCCAAUAAUUAGUGAUCCCAAAAGAGAAAUCAUCAAGCAACUCAACAUGGUAGAUC